Molecule: long non-coding RNA, 230 nt
Filed under: Elaeis guineensis (African oil palm)
Lineage: Eukaryota; Viridiplantae; Streptophyta; Magnoliopsida; Arecales; Arecaceae
Description: long non-coding RNA (EGUI_LNC058510)
Source: RNAcentral
ACUAUUAGACAAAAGUCCUAAUCUAGUUGUGCAUGUCAUCAUAAGUUGUCCGCUUAUAUUAUAUUCUUUUUAUUAUAGAUUAACUACAUAUAUGCCAUCCUCACUAUCACUGCGAGGUAUAUUAGAUGCUAACAAAUUGAUCAGACCAAACUUUAUGGACUAGUUGAGAAAUUUAAGAAUAGUUCUCACACAGAAGAAAAUCUCCUAUAUACUGAAUUCACCUACACCCG